Leucoraja erinaceus (little skate) is the source of this 1341-nucleotide long non-coding RNA. RefSeq lists it as uncharacterized. The record is from RefSeq and is a predicted model, not a curated record. The transcript is spliced from 2 exons. Lineage: Eukaryota; Metazoa; Chordata; Chondrichthyes; Rajiformes; Rajidae.
CCCCACCUACACCCCUCUGCAUCCCGGCCAUGUGUGUGACCCCUUCCCUCCCCUCUCCAGCUCCCCGCUCAUCGCACCGGCGCGGGGGCUUUGCACUGUCUUCACGUCGGCGAUGCCUGCAGGUCAGUGCCAGUCACCGGAGAUGUCAGAACCAACGGGACACCGACCCCCAGUCCCACUGCAAGCACGGAGAUCCCAGAGACCCACAGCCAGCAGCAGCCCAGUCCCGUUCCAACUCCAGAGGAAAACUGCAAACUGGCCGGAGACGUCAGGACCACCAGAAGCCGCUCCCCGAUGGGCCGCUACGGAGACAAGUGGCAGUUCGCCCACAACCCGAGCUGCGCUCCCUCAUCGGGACACCGACCCCCAGGCCCACUGCAAGCACGGAGAUCCCAGAUCAGCAUCUCCAGCCCCGCUCCAACUCCAGAGGAACACGCUCCCCGUAGGGGCAGAAGCUGAUGGUGUGCAAGUCCACAGAUGUGGGACGUUAUCCAGUGGGUGAGCUGAUACAUUGGAAUGGCCAGGUGUGGACAAGUGGGAAUGAAUGAGGAGUUAUAUCCAAACAGCUGGAGUGACAACAAACUGCAACUGACAUGCCUCGAGUGAAGGAAUAAGGCUGAACAUUCACUUUAGCAGCAGACAGAAUAAACAUGACAAUCAAAAAAAGAACUGACACCAAGACAGCCAUCAGUUUAAUUUAUGUGAAGGGCAGAAGUUUGUUCUGUCAAUUCUUCUUCCUGUAUUCAUUAAUUAUUGUAACAUUUGUGCAGUUACCAUAUCAAGUGCAUCCCUCCACUUAAGUCUAAUUUGUUUGAUUAUAUGCUAUUCAUUUUUGAUUUCCCACUUUCCCUUCUUUGGUUUUUGGGAAAUCAUCCAUCGGGCCUAAUCCCAGCUCAGACGUGACACCUCCUGUUGCCUGUAAUCUCCACUGUUCAGACAUUCUUAUCCUAAAGGCAGGCAGUGAUGAAAAGCAGCAGUGAGUCCUAGAAAGAGCACAAAACUAAGGGGAAAUAUCAAAGUCUCCUCAAACCAUCCAACGUAGCUGUACAGUAACUUUAGAUCAGAUCACGGUUUUGUGUGCUGUUGUCCUGCUGCCAAAUACAUUUAUUCAUUUCCUUUGUCUGAUCGUAAUCUAAAUGUAACUCUUUGAUGUCUGGUGCGGCACUGUUCAAAUUGUCGUAAUGGAUGCCAGGAUCACUGAGAUGCUCGGUGUGUUUGUGUCGUGCUUCAAUUUUAUGUGAAAAUGGCGGGGAAGGAAGAAACCAAAGCCCGCACCAAAUCUUUGAUGAUCGGAGCAACAUGGCUAGACACUUCAUCCUCCCCACAGCCAAAUAAUCUACG